UCGAGCGCCCCGCAAGGGGAGCGGCAGACGGGUGAGUAACGCGUGGGAAUCUACCCUUUUCUACGGAAUAACGCAGGGAAACUUGUGCUAAUACCGUAUAAGCCCUUCGGGGGAAAGAUUUAUCGGGAAAGGAUGAGCCCGCGUUGGAUUAGCUAGUUGGUGGGGUAAAGGCCUACCAAGGCGACGAUCCAUAGCUGGUCUGAGAGGAUGAUCAGCCACAUUGGGACUGAGACACGGCCCAAACUCCUACGGGAGGCAGCAGUGGGGAAUAUUGGACAAUGGGCGCAAGCCUGAUCCAGCCAUGCCGCGUGAGUGAUGAAGGCCCUAGGGUUGUAAAGCUCUUUCACCGGUGAAGAUAAUGACGGUAACCGGAGAAGAAGCCCCGGCUAACUUCGUGCCAGCCGCCCGCGGUAAUA
Molecule: ribosomal RNA, 416 nt
Filed under: Ensifer sp. SA_02
Lineage: Bacteria; Pseudomonadati; Pseudomonadota; Alphaproteobacteria; Hyphomicrobiales; Rhizobiaceae
Description: bacterial SSU rRNA
Rfam family: Bacterial small subunit ribosomal RNA
Source: RNAcentral